GAUGAACGCUGGCGGCGUGCUUAACACAUGCAAAUCGAACGGAAAGGCUCCUGCUUGCAGGGGUACUCGAGUGGCGAACGGGUGAGUAACACGUGGGUGAUCUGCCCAGCACUUCGGGAUAAGCCUGGGAAACUGGGUCUAAUACCGGAUAGGACGAUGGUUUGGAUGCCAUUGUGGAAAGUUUUUUCGGUGUGGGAUGAGCUCGCGGCCUAUCAGCUUGUUGGUGGGGUAAUGGCCUACCAAGGCGUCGACGGGUAGCCGGCCUGAGAGGGUGUACGGCCACAUUGGGACUGAGAUACGGCCCAGACUCCUACGGGAGGCAGCAGUGGGGAAUAUUGCACAAUGGGCGCAAGCCUGAUGCAGCGACGCCGCGUGGGGGAUGACGGCCUUCGGGUUGUAAACUCCUUUCGCUAGGGACGAAGCGCAAGUGACGGUACCUGGAGAAGAAGCACCGGCUAACUACGUG
This 466-nucleotide ribosomal RNA is filed under the name uncultured bacterium. RNAcentral's name for it is "partial 16S ribosomal RNA". It matches the Rfam family "Bacterial small subunit ribosomal RNA", at positions 28 to 507 of the family's 1533-position model. The record is from RNAcentral.